RNAcentral lists this ribosomal RNA (274 nucleotides) under uncultured bacterium. RNAcentral's name for it is "partial 16S ribosomal RNA". It matches the Rfam family "Bacterial small subunit ribosomal RNA", at positions 523 to 796 of the family's 1533-position model. The record is from RNAcentral.
AUACGGAGGGUGCAAGCGUUACUCGGAAUCACUGGGCGUAAAGCGCGCGCAGGCGGGCUGAUAAGUUGGAUGUGAAAGCCUACGGCUCAACCGUAGAACUGCAUCCACAACUGUCAGUCUAGAGUCUGGGAGGGGAAGAUGGAAUUAGUUGUGUAGGGGUAAAAUCCGUAGAGAUAACUAGGAAUACCAAAAGCGAAGGCGAUCUUCUGGAACAGUACUGAUGCUGAGGCGCGAAAGCGUGGGGAGCAAACAGGAUUAGAAACCCCAGUAGUCC